UACGUAUGGUGCAAGCGUUAUCCGGAUUUACUGGGCGUAAAGGGAGCGCAGGCGGCGCGCCAAGUCUGAUGUGAAACCCCGGGGCUCAACCCCGGGCAUGCAUUGGAAACUGGCGGGCUGGAGUGCCGGAGAGGUAAGCGGAAUUCCUAGUGUAGCGGUGAAAUGCGUAGAUAUUAGGAGGAACACCAGUGGCGAAGGCGGCUUACUGGACGGCAACCGACGCUGAGGCUCGAAAGCGUGGGGAGCAAACAGG
RNAcentral lists this ribosomal RNA (253 nucleotides) under uncultured bacterium. RNAcentral describes it as "partial 16S ribosomal RNA". It matches the Rfam family "Bacterial small subunit ribosomal RNA", at positions 524 to 776 of the family's 1533-position model. The record is from RNAcentral.